ACAAAACUAGCCAGUACAAUGACUGUCUGCCUAAUGUCUAAGGAGUUGUGAAGCAUCAUUAUUUCUGGAUGUGGCUUCUUUCUUUUAGAACAAUAUCUUUCAGGUUCUUCCACAUUGUGGUAUGUGCUAGGAUUUCCUUUUAUUUUAGUGUUGAAUAAUAUUUCUACAUAUUUAUUUACCACAUUUUCUUUAUUCAUUCUUCUGAUAGACAUUUAAGUCGAUUUUCUAUCUGUGCUAUUAUGAGUAAUGCUUCAGAUAAUAUGCAUAUGAAUAGUUAAUUAUGCAUCUCAUUUAAGUUAUUUUGGGCAACUAUCUAGAGAUGUCAUUAUUACCAGAAAUGGUAAUCUUUGAAAAAUAACUUUCUUGGUAACUUCACAUUGUCUCUGUAGCUGCUCUAUCAUUUUACAUUUCCACCAACCAUGCACAAAUGUUAUAUUGUAUACACCUUGACAACACACACCCUCACCAAACACACACACUUACACAACAACCCUGCUGACAGACAACACAGACACACACACACACACACACACACACACACACACACACACACAAACAUACACAGAGACAGAGACAGAAUAAGAGAGCACUUUCCUAACAAGUGUGAGUACUUCAUUUUAUUUUGAUUGCAUGUCUAGAUGACGUAGGGACUUGAGCACCUCCCCAUACACUGCUGUCCAAUUCUAUGCCUUUUUCAUGAGAUCUCUGUAUAAAGUUAGGCUCUUGGGCUUCUGAGAUGGCUCAGUGGAUGAAGACACUUACAAUCAUUCCUGAUGACCUGAGUUCAUUCUCUGGAAUCCACGUCGUAGAAGGACAGAGCCAAUUCCUCCUUAUUGUCUCCUGACAUCCUCAUGCACACACUAAAUGCACACAUACAAUAAACAAUUACAAUAAUUGCAAUAAAUAUCAUAAACUUCAAAAAAGUAUAAAUCUAGGUGGAGAAUAUAUUUUCAGUCUCUGAAGAGAAUUUCUAAAUCAGUUGAUUAUGAGACCGUGAGCGUUGAGCCACUUAGGACUUGCAGUUACACGAUUUGAAAAUAUUGUGAUAUUGAUAUUUAUGUCGAUCUAUUUUAAAUUUAACCUUUGAUAUUCAUAAUUUUUAUCUGAGGUUUUGAGAAAAACGUAAAAGUGUUUUAUUAAAUUUAUUAUCUUAGCUUUUUCCAAUUUCAUUCUGCAUAUGGAUAACACUUUUAUUGAGAUAAGGAACUUUCUGCUCUCAAGAUGUUUAAAGUAUAUAAAAACUGUUAAUCAUUGUUAUUUUAUAUACACUUCAAAAUAAUGACGAAUGAGAGAAGAAAUGUACUCUAAUUUGGUUUGGGAGAUUUUAGAGAAUCUAACUUAAAAACAGUCCCGUGAAUCAUGUAAGUACAGGAUGUUUUACUGUGUAUGACUUAGGCAAUGAUAUAAGUAUCACUAUUGCUCCCAAUUCAGUUACAGGCUAAACUACAUUAUAGUUUAAAUUAAAAUUCCAGCAGGUUAUUACUACAGUAAAAUUUCACGAGGGUUGAACCUCUCCAAUACAGAAAUGCAAAUGAAUCAACUGUGAGAUGCCAUUUUGAUUUUCCACAUUGGCAGUGCUAAAACAAGUAUGUAAUAUGAUCCCAGCUCAAGGGACUAGAAGUUUAAAUCUUGCAGGCAUAUAAAAUGCAUCAAACUUUGAUGAAGGUACAUGGUUUAUAUUAUGGUAUAUCUUCUUUGAUUUAGUGUUCUUGCUACAAGAAAAAUUUAAAGGAAAUAUGAAAAAGCCAUAGACAUCUAAUUAUAUGAAGGAUUUCACUAAAGAAUGGUUUAAAAUGAUAAACAUCCAAUAAAACCUGAACUGGAAAACACAAUAGAAUGAUAAAUAUAUGUUGGAGGUACAUCUGAUUAUCAAAAGUGUACACUCAAAUUUUCCUGUGCACUGUACCUACUGAAAUGGCAAAACACCUGUAGUAUAAACAUAUAUAGUAACUAGAUUGGGUAAUUACAUUUAUUCUUUUAUGUUUUCAGUUAUGUUUUUUAUAUUGAUUUGCAAGGAAAUUGAAUUAGAAUAUACAAAAAUGCAAGUUAGUACUUAUAACUUUCAGAUACUAGAUUUUUUUCAGAAGUUUCCCUAUUAUAUGCUGUUUAAAAAUCAUAUUCUGAGGUUUUCACUGUUAACCAAUAUGAUUAUAAAAGU
RNAcentral lists this long non-coding RNA (2158 nucleotides) under Mus musculus (house mouse). RNAcentral's name for it is "long non-coding RNA chr12:41242948-41245106". The record is from RNAcentral. Lineage: Eukaryota; Metazoa; Chordata; Mammalia; Rodentia; Muridae.